This 132-nucleotide small RNA is filed under the name Salmonella enterica. Its description in RNAcentral is "RtT sRNA". It matches the Rfam family "RtT RNA". Rfam says of the family: This family represents a bacterial cis-regulatory element known as RtT RNA. The exact function of RtT is unknown although it is thought that it may be involved in changing the cellular response in relation to amino acid starvation. The record is from RNAcentral. RNAcentral also lists the same sequence under 11 other names. Lineage: Bacteria; Pseudomonadati; Pseudomonadota; Gammaproteobacteria; Enterobacterales; Enterobacteriaceae.
GUUUGCACUUGUCGGGGAAGGGUGAGAACCUUCGAUUAAGGUUCGACUCGAGCGAAAGCGAGAGAACGUUGCCAACGGCAACGGCCCGUAGGGUGAGGAGCGAAGCGACGAAUAAUCCUUCCACCACCAUCA